UCCAAACAAUGCAAACAAGAGGAUAACAAUUAACAAAUUAACAAUGCAGAUGAAGCAUUUUAGAUCCUUAGCAAUGUUAAAAAAGGCCAAUAAGAGAUCAAAGACAGCUAUUUCAUGAUCCGUGAUCCAGGAACAUGGCAGUGUUUUAUGUGACAAAUGAAACAGAAAUGUUUAUGUAUUGUAGAAGUAUUAGUUCUUUAAAAAGAUCAACUUUGAGACACUCAGGAA
This 228-nucleotide unclassified non-coding RNA is filed under the name Hevea brasiliensis (rubber tree). Lineage: Eukaryota; Viridiplantae; Streptophyta; Magnoliopsida; Malpighiales; Euphorbiaceae. The record is from RNAcentral.